GUGAAUCAUCAAAUCUUUGAACGCAUAUUGCACUCUCUGGUAUUCCGGAGAGCAUGCCUGUUUGAGGGUCAUUAAAAAGAAUCUUUAACUAAUUUUUUUUGGUCAAAGGAAGUGCGUUCUCCGCGAUUAUAGUGGUUGCUUGAAAUAAAUGGUCAAGUCUCAUUUUAGUCGGGACGCGUAAUCAUAUUAUUUCGCGUCAUCUUCAUUAUGUGACUAUCAAGUUUUGAUGCAUACAAAUUUGGUUUGUAUGCCAUCAAUACGAAUAUUUUGAACAUUACCUCACAUCAGGUCGUAGUACCCG
This 301-nucleotide unclassified non-coding RNA is filed under the name Ambisporaceae sp. RNAcentral describes it as "partial contains 5.8S ribosomal RNA and internal transcribed spacer 2". The stretch from base 1 to 71 matches the Rfam family "5.8S ribosomal RNA", at positions 84 to 154 of the family's 154-position model. The record is from RNAcentral. Lineage: Eukaryota; Fungi; Glomeromycota; Glomeromycetes; Archaeosporales; Ambisporaceae.